RNAcentral lists this ribosomal RNA (505 nucleotides) under uncultured bacterium. Its description in RNAcentral is "bacterial SSU rRNA". It matches the Rfam family "Bacterial small subunit ribosomal RNA", at positions 28 to 527 of the family's 1533-position model. The record is from RNAcentral.
GAUGAACGCUAGCGGCAGGCCUAAUACAUGCAAGUCGAACGGAUAUAUGUUUUUCGGAAUAUAUAUUAGUGGCGCACGGGUGAGUAACACGUACAUAACUUGCCCUCAAGCGGGGGAUAGCCUUGGGAAACUGAGAGUAAUACCCCAUAGAAUUAUUGGACGGCAUCGUUUGAUAAUUAAAACUACGGUGCUUGGGGAUAGAUGUGCGUCUGAUUAGCUAGUUGGUGAGGUAACUGCUCACCAAGGCGACGAUCAGUAGGGGGCGUGAGAGCGUGGCCCCCCACACGGGUACUGAGACACGGACCCGACUCCUACGGGAGGCAGCAGUAAGGAAUAUUGGUCAAUGGAGGGAACUCUGAACCAGCCAUGCCGCGUGAAGGAUGACGGCCCUCUGGGUUGUAAACUUCUUUUGGAUGGGGCGAAAAAACGGGAUUUAUCCUGGACUGACGGUACCAUCAGAAUAAGCACCGGCUAACUCCGUGCCAGCAGCCGCGGUAAAGUAUCG